RNAcentral lists this microRNA precursor (103 nucleotides) under Marmota monax (woodchuck). The record is from RNAcentral. Lineage: Eukaryota; Metazoa; Chordata; Mammalia; Rodentia; Sciuridae.
ACACAAAUCUAGAGAUUUUUGUUAAAAUGCACAUUCUGAUCCAGUAGAUCUGGGAUGAGACCAAAGAAUUUGCAUUUUUAACUAACUCCCAGGUGGUGUUGAU